RNA transcript from Mustela erminea (ermine), 2784 nucleotides. It is a transcript of the gene named coiled-coil domain containing 36, with no coding region annotated. NCBI's taxonomy places the organism in Eukaryota, Metazoa, Chordata, Mammalia, Carnivora, Mustelidae. The transcript is spliced from 11 exons. The record is from RefSeq and is a predicted model, not a curated record.
GGAGGCCAUUUCAGUAAUCAAGCUGGUGAUUAGUGUUGUCACAUUUAGCAAAUAAAAAUAUAGGACAUCCAGUUAAAGUUAAAUUUCAGGUAAACUACACACACAAACACACACACACACACACACACACACACACACACAUUUAUUUAUUUAGUACAAGUGUGUUCCAUGCAAUAUUUGGGAAAUUCAAAUUUAACUGGAUAUCCUAUAUUUUAUCUGGUAAACCUAUAGUGGAAGGAAUGAGAAGUGGACCGAUUCUGGAUGUUUUGAAGGAAUUAACCAUAGUAUUUCCUGACAGAUUGAAUGUGAGAAGAGAGUCAAGAGGACUCUUAGAUUUUUGGCCCAUGCAACCAGAAAGAUGUAGUUGCCAUUAACUGGAAUAGGAAGACUAAGAUGGAAAAUGUUUUGGGGAAAGAAGAUGAUCUUGGUUUUGGACAUGUUGAGUUUAAGCUGGAAUACCUCUAUAAAGAAGAACUUUCUUACCAUCUCUAUGUUGGUUAUUUUGAGGUAUAUCUAUUCUAGAAAGGAUUAACCAUAAGAAAUGAAUUUUAAUGUCUGGAAUAUCAAAGAGAUGCUCAGUAUUCCCUCAGGCUCUGGUUUUGGAGAUUGGAAGUCCUAGAAUCAUAUGCCAGCUGGAUCAUUUCUGGACCACUAAGUCAUCUAGCUGGAAUAAUAAUCAGGCUGAUUACUCCAGUCUCAGUGACUCCCAGUUCCUCUUUGGAUCCCAGUUCUGUCCAGAAAGUUCAGAGACUCUGUCAGCACCCUUGGAUGGUGUCCACGUGAGACAUCCAAAACAAUCACAACAGAAUUCUCUGGACAGUGAACCUGGUAUUUUCACAAAGUACCAGACAAAACCCCCGCUGUUUGGAGCAGAUGCAAAUGAUAGAGGCUUAUUUCCUCCACCUUUGUCAGUUGGAAAAGCAAAGGGCCUGUUGGAACAGUUUGAAGAGAAAAAGAAAAGGACAAAAGACAAAUGUGACAGUGAGACUCUAUACAACCUCAUUUCACAUAUCAGAGAAAGCAUUCACAGGUUGCAGACAUCUGUGGAAAAGUCUGAGGAACAUCUCAGCUCAAGAAGCCAAUCUAUUUUGGAUGGUUUGGAGACUCUGGCCAAGACCUUGCAAGAGACCGUGCGGGCCCAGAGUGAUCUGGUGUUGGAAACGGUGCAUGACAAAGGCAACAUGGAGCAGGUCAUCUUUGAGAUACAGAAAAGAUUUGAAGCUAGACAAGCAGAGUUUAUAGAAAUGAGAUCCGACCUGAAGCACCUUGAAGCUUUAGUGGCCCAGCAGAGUAAGGACUUCCAGCAGCUGUGUGAGCAGCUAGGCCAGCUAAAUGUGGCCAGUGUCCUGGCAGAGCUGAAGAGAUUGAUUUCAGACCCUCGGGUAGCCGGGCAUGUGAAAGACAGCACUUCCCAGACCUCACCACCUCUGGCCCAGAGCCUCCAUUUCACCAGGCAGGGCAGGUACGCUUCUGAGGAGGCAGGUCUGUGGCCGGCGCAGGCCCCCCCUGCUGUACGGACUCGGAGUAUGGGCUCCCUGGAGCCUGGAGAGUUUGGUGUCUGUGGUGAGAGAGCAGAAAGCGGCGCUCUUCAAGAAGAGGCUAUGCGGCAGGCAGCUGGAACCAGCAGAAGAAACAGGCGAGUCAAGGACAGGGCUGUGCAGACCAACCGCAGGAACUGGACCGGUCCUAAAACCAGCUCUGAGAACCAUGGCGCCGGCUCCCCAGGCCCCCAAGUUCCUGGUGGUAAGGACUGGGUUUCUCAGGGAGCCUCAAGGCUUCUACCCCUGGACUCAAACAAAUUUGCAGCCAGCAUUAAGAACACCUGCCCAAAAUGUCAAGCUGAAGGUGUGUCUCCAUGUGAUCCUCGUGAACAGAGGCUGGUGACUGCACAGAAAAGCAGACCUGUGGAAAGAGGGAGGAAAGGCAAAAAGCAGGCGCCCAGGAAGUCCCAGAGAGGCAGGCUCCGAGCCAGGAAGCAAGAACAAGCCCCUAGCAAAACCUGUGCUGUCAUUCCUAAAUACCCUCAGCCGCCAGUUUCUGGCCCACAAAGCCCCCCGCUGGAGCAGCAGAAACCCCGUGCUCAACCCCUGCAUCUGUGGGGCCCCAACAGCCGCACAAAGCCAGUCAGCGCUAUUCUGGGAGGAAGAGUCAUGCGCAGUAAGGCAGUGAGGGCAGCGCAAGGAGACCUCUUAGAACUCAGUGGGCUUUCUUCCCAAGACAACAGCCUGCUUGCGACCAGUUCCCAGGGGGACCACCAGAUGAGCUGGUUCAGCGACCUCAACCUCAGAAGUUCAGACCCCCCUGUGUGCAAGGAGCCAGGGAAGAGUAUGCUCUAUGAUCUGGGUUUUGAUAGCAGUGAUGAUGGCUUCUGACCCGCCCACAAAAUUCUUCAGCUGGUAGUUGAUGGGUGGCAGCUGGAAAGACACACGAUCCCACACUGAGGCCCGCGAACAGCAGGAAGUCCCUGCCGGCGGCAGCGCGCAGGCUCAGAGGCCCUGCUGGGAGAAACAGAGACUGUUACGCUGCCAGUGGAAGAGAGGUGACCUGCACCCAACAAAUGCCCAGAGGGGCGCUGUACACCAGCCACACAGUCCCAGUUUUCUUCUUGGCUUUUUCCCCCAUCCUGUUUUCAGCCAUUCUUCAAGCAAAUGAGAGCAUCUAAGGGUCCAGCAAUAUUUCUGGAGAGCAUUGGGCUUAUAUGAGACUUUGGCUUUCUUAUACAGAGAGUUUUGAAUUUUUGUUAUACAUAUAUAUUUCUUUUGUAAUAAAAAAUAAAACAUAUAA